This 450-nucleotide ribosomal RNA is filed under the name uncultured bacterium. RNAcentral describes it as "partial 16S ribosomal RNA". It matches the Rfam family "Bacterial small subunit ribosomal RNA", at positions 354 to 796 of the family's 1533-position model. The record is from RNAcentral.
GUGGGGAAUAUUGGACAAUGGGCGAAAGCCUGAUCCAGCCAUGCCGCGUGUGUGAAGAAGGUCUUCGGAUUGUAAAGCACUUUAAGUUGGGAGGAAGGGCAGUAAGUUAAUACCUUGCUGUUUUGACGUUACCGACAGAAUAAGCACCGGCUAACUUCGUGCCAGCAGCCGCGGUAAUACGAAGGGUGCAAGCGUUAAUCGGAAUUACUGGGCGUAAAGCGCGCGUAGGUGGUUUUGUAAGUUGGAGGUGAAAUCCCCGGGCUCAACCUGGGAACUGCCUCCAAAACUGCAUGACUAGAGUACGGUAGAGGGUAGUGGAAUUUCCUGUGUAGCGGUGAAAUGUGUAGAUAUAGGAAGGAACACCAGUGGCGAAGGCGACUACCUGGACUGAUACUGACACUGAGGUGCGAAAGCGUGGGGAGCAAACAGGAUUAGAUACCCCAGUAGUCC